This 520-nucleotide ribosomal RNA is filed under the name Cardiophorinae sp. UPOL RK0035. RNAcentral's name for it is "partial 16S ribosomal RNA". It matches the Rfam family "Bacterial large subunit ribosomal RNA", at positions 1816 to 2610 of the family's 2925-position model. The record is from RNAcentral. Lineage: Eukaryota; Metazoa; Arthropoda; Insecta; Coleoptera; Elateridae.
CAUGUCCUUUUGAAUAUAAUUUAAGGUCUAAUCUGCUCAAUGAGGAUUUAAAUAGCCGCGGUAUUUUGACCGUGCAAAGGUAGCAUAAUAAUUAGUUUUUUGAUUGAAAGCUGGAAUGAAUGAUUGGACGAGAAAAUAUCUGUCUCUUAUUUAUAUAUUGAAUUUUACUUUUUAGUGAAAAGGCUUAAAUGUUUAUUAAAGACGAGAAGACCCUAUAGAGUUUAAUUAUUCACAGGAAAUAUCUUUUUGGGAUUUAUAAAAUUUUUCUUUAAAAUAAUUUGGUUGGGGUGAUUUUUAGAUUUGAUAAACUCUAAUAGCUAAUAAUCAUUGAUUUAUGAAUUUUGAUUCUAGGAUUACUUAAUUUUAAAAUAAAUUACCUUAGGGAUAACAGCGUAAUUUUACUUUAGAGUUCUUAUUGACAGUAGAGUUUGCGACCUCGAUGUUGGAUUAAAAUUAAUUAUUGGUGCAGCAGCUAAUGGAUUGAGUCUGUUCGACUUUUAAAAUUUUACAUGAUCUGAGU